Molecule: long non-coding RNA, 601 nt
Organism: Lepus europaeus (European hare)
Lineage: Eukaryota; Metazoa; Chordata; Mammalia; Lagomorpha; Leporidae
Exons: 4
Source: RefSeq, a predicted model, not a curated record
CUUUUACCUCAGGUGUGAACUGUGUGGAAGCCUCAUCGCCACGCCUGGGGAGGGGGCAGCAGUGUACCUGGUUUGCGGUCUGUUUGCCGGUCCAGGGAUCUCCAUCGGCCACACUGGGUGUGACCGUCCCUUGUGUCUGGCACACCCAUUCUCUGUGCAGUACGGCACGGAGGGCACAGGGCAGGAGAAGGAAGGGGACAGGCCGCUGUCUUCGGGAUGCCUGUGUGGGAAGGCGAGUUAUCUCACCCUGCCCUUGCCUAAACCUGCCGCCGGCCGGAAGCUUGUCAAGCAGCACGAAGAGUGCGCUGUGAGGUCAGGCUAACCCGGUUUGUCAUUUAUUAGCAGUGUACGCUUGGUUCUCCGCAAUGGCCUGGGAAAGCACUAGAAGAUGGCCCAAGUCCUUGAGCCCCUGAACCCACAUGGGAGACCCAAGAAGAAGCUCCUGGCUCUUGGCUUUGGAUCAGCCCAGCUCUGGCCAUUGCAGCCAUUUAUGGAGUGAACCAGUGGGUGGAAGACCUCUCUCUUGGUGUGCCUCUCCUUCUCUCUCUGUGUAAUUCUGACUUUCAAGUAAAUAAAUACACCUAAAAAAAAAAACAAAAAA